This 508-nucleotide long non-coding RNA is filed under the name Chloebia gouldiae (Gouldian finch). RNAcentral describes it as "Erythrura gouldiae (Gouldian finch) lncRNA (ENSEGOG00005009890.1)". The record is from RNAcentral. Lineage: Eukaryota; Metazoa; Chordata; Aves; Passeriformes; Passeridae.
CUCCCUGAGCCCAAAAUCUGAGCAAGCCCUGGUCAAACCCGAGCAAACCCUGAGCAAACCAGGAGUAAACCCAGAGGAAACCCCGAGCAAAUGGGGAGCAAACGGAUUUACUGGAGAACUUCUGGAUUUUAUUGGAUCUCUUGGAGGGUUUAUUGGAUCUCCUGCAGGAUUUAUUGAAUAAAUUUUAUAUUUUAUUGGAUCUCCUGCAGGAUUUAUUGGAUCUCUUGCAGGAUUUAUUGGAUCUCCUGCAGGAUUUAUUGAAUCUCUUGCAGGAUUUAUUGAAUCUCUUGUAGGAUUUAUUGAAGAACUUCUAGAUUUUAUUGGAUCUCCUGUAGGAUUUAUUGGAUCUCUUGAAGGAUUUAUUGAAAAACUUUUAGAUUUUAUUGGAUCUCUUGCAGGAUUUAUUUUAGAACUUUUAUAUUUUGUUGGAUCUCUUGGAUUUAUUGGAUCUCCGGCACGAUUUAUUGGAGGUCCUGCAGGAUUUAUUGGAUCUCUGGCAGGAUUUAUU